UCUCAGCAUACAACAAUUCACACUUGAACUAUUCCAAUAUCCAAAUCCAUGAUUAAAUUAUGUCCCUAACGCCUCCAUGUACUAUCUCAAUUUUUACAUGCAUUUCCUAAUCUUUUCAUACCAAUUUAUAACCUCUAGGUUUUUAUAUCAUUCUUUCCAACUUUACACAUUUAUAACAUUGUUGUGGCGAUACUCAUUGAUCAUGGGCCAUUCACCAAAUAAACAUGUCAUACGUUACGUCCAUCAUUCCCCAGCAACCACAUCAACAUGAACACAUUGCAUGCAUACAUGGUUAAUAAGGGUUACAACCCAAUAGUAAAAUAUGAGCCAUAUUUCAUAGCCAUAUACAAAAUAAUUCAUCAACCAUCAUAAAUCAUUAUACUUGGCUAAUUUAAAUGACACAUAUAACCAAAAGAUAAGUUACCAUAUACAUGCCAUUAUAUCAAAAUGAAUAGUUCUCUUAUACCCAAAAUGAGAAUGUUAAUAAUGUGAUCAAACUCCCACCGUCCUCCAACCUUUACGAGUCCAAGAGCUCUAUAAGACAGGGAAAAGUAAAAAAAGGGGUAAGUAUUACAUGUUUAGUAAGUUAGUAUAACGGAAAGUAAACUUAUCGGUCAUUUUAACACAUAAUCACAAUAAGCCAUGUUAUCCAUCAAUUAUAAAAAUUUUCCCUAAACACAUACACUCAAUGAACAAGUUAGUCACAUAAAUUUUCAAGAUCUAUAGAUGAGCUCAUCACAUCAUAUACAUAUUCAAAUUCGUAUUUCUCAUGUCAUGUACAAAUAUUUUAUCCAGUGAAUCCUCAAAUCCCUGAUGGAUAUUUCAUCACUUAAUACACUCCAUGUGUACUAUUUUAUUAACCAUCAAUUCAUAUCCAAUAGUACCUUAUCCGGUACACUCUUGAGCCAUAUCUCUUACAGCAGAAUUUCCAAUCCAGGCUAAAUUCUAGCUGUUCCAUGUACUCUAAGGGCUUUACCGGAUUACCAGUCUAGGCUAAAUCCUUUACAUGACAAAGAAUACCCUACAAAGUCUAAUCUGGAUUACCAGUCCAAGCUAAAUCCAGUCAACUAGGAUUACCAGUCCAGGCUAAAUCCUAAUUGAAACGUAUGCUCAAUAAGCUCGUUUAAGGAUUACCCGUCCAGGCUAAAUCCUUUCUAUAAUGAGAUCAAUGGAUUACCCGUCUGGGCGAAAUCCUUUCUACAACACAUCCAGGAUCCCAUUUUUCAUGAGAAGUGACCUAUCCUAUAACACCUCUUACCCGUACCCGAGAGACUAGGUACGAGGCGUUACCGCUCGCAAAUAAGAUCAUUCCAGAAAAACGGGUUAUAAAAUUUCAUUUCCAAUUUAAAACCAAUUAAAUAAAUUCAUAUUGUCCCUAUUAUGGACCUACGAGGCCUACAUCAUACAUUAUUAACGGUCCGGGACUAAACCAGGGACUAUAGAAAAUUUUAGACACGACCGUGUGUCUCAACCAUGUGGAGGACACGGUCUAAAAUUUCUCAAAAACCUAAAAUUUUAGGUGUAGGGGACACACGGCCAGGCAACAUGCCCAUGGGGGCUGACCGUGUGUCACACACGGUCUAGACACAUGCCCAUGUGUCUAUCCGUGUGGACCUUUUUAGGGUUAUUUUCCAAGCCUUUGAUCAACCUCUAACAACCAUACACACUUAUAGACUUCAAUGGUAUUUAACAUGGCCUAAUUAUACUCUUAAACAAUCUUGGCACAACUCAUUGCGUGUUAACCUCAUCUCAUCGGUUUAGUACAAGCUAAAUUAUCCUUUUCGCAUUAAGGAUUAACAUAGUACAUUUUACACUUUACACUUAGGCCAUAUUAUAGCCAUAUACCAUUACAUGUUAUAUCCACUCUCAAGUUAUUAGGUCCCAUUUCAUGCAUCCAUUCAUGAUAAACCUCAUUAUCAUAUCUCAUGAAACAUUUAAACAUAAACAUGCAUCAUUAGUAGGUUUACAACCUACAUCAAUAUGAGUCAUAUCUCAUGGCCAUAUACAAAAGAAUAAAUAUACCAUUUAAGCCCUUAUAUUGGCUAGCCAAAUGAUACAUAUAACAAAAUGACCAAAAACCAUAUACAUGCCAUUAAACAAAAUAAAAGUAUCUAUAUACCAAAGCGGGACAAGUCAAUAGUGUGUUGAUUCUCCAACCGUUUUCCAAUCUUCAAGAGUCCACAAGCUUGGUAGGACAGGAAAAAGAGAAGUGGUAAACAUUUAUAUGCUUAGUAAGUUCGGAUAACUGGAAAGUGAACUUACCGAUUAAUUAGCAUACAACCAUACUAGGCAAUGAUUCCAACAAGCAUGAAAUAGUUUCCCUAUCACAUGCACUCAAUCAUCAAGUUAGUCUCAUAACAAUGCAUCAUAUCAUUAGCCUUAGAUGAGCUCAUCAAUUCAAUAUUUCCAUCUCUAUUUCUCAUGUUAAUCCCGUUGAAUUUCUCAAAAACCUCGAUGGAUAGCCCAAUUACCUUCAAGUCAUACAAGUUAUCAUCUCAGGUAUGCACUCCCGCGAACCUUACAUCUUACGGCGAGAUUACCAGUCCAGGCUAAAUCCCCCAUAGUAAUACUCAUAGAGCAAUGUCAAGAUUACCAGUCCAAGCUAAAUCCCCUACAGCGACAUACUCCUAUGAGCUCAGACCUAAAUUGUCAAUCCAGGCUAAAUUCAAUCCUCAUUCGGAUUACCCAUCCGGGCGAAAUCCUUAAUGCACCCAUAUUCUUUGAGAGGCUCGAUAAAUCAAGGAACACCCGUCUGAGCUAAAUCCUUUCUAUUUUGAGAUCAUUAGAUUACUCGUCUAGGCUAAAUCCUUUUUUGCAACACAUGCAAGUUCUCAUGUCUUGUAAGCCAUAAUUUAUCCAUCAGAUUUCCUUUUUUAUUUCAACCGAGACAUUUAUCAUCUUUUUAUUUACGCUAGCACAUUUCAUGGAUUAUUAUGCAAUGAAUAUCUAAAUUUUCAUACAUUCAAGAACAUACAUUAUAAGUAUAUUAAGAGUUUACUUUGGGUUAUACGAACUUACUUGGUAGUCGUUGCGAAUUCAUGUCUCAAUUAUUCUAAAACCUUUCGUUUUCCACGGUCGACCUCCGAAAUUGGUUUCUCGAGGUCUAUAUCAAUAAAAUUAGAUUAUUAAUACAUCACAUUAUUCAUUUUAGGCCUAAAACUCAUCUCCGAAAAAAAUGACCAUUUUACCCCUAAUCUUUCACAAUAUUUACAAUUUAGUCCUAAGUCUUGCAUAAUGAAAUACAUGUAAUUCCUUGGCUACCCAAGCCUAGUCGAAUGUUAUUCAACUUAUAGCAGCCCAUGUUUUUCCUUCAUUCCAUAUUUUUCUACCCGCUUCCAUAACUUUUACAAUUUCAUCCUUUAAGCCAUUUCUAUGAAAAACCACUUGGUAAAAGUUGUUUACCAUCCUUUAAACUCUCAUAUUCCUUCAUAAAUCAUCAAAACACAAACAUCUCAUGCAUGGGUAAUUUUCUAAACAUGAACCCUAACAUGAUUUAUGGGUAAAAAUAGAAAGAGUUGUUACGAGGAUCUCAAAAAUACGAAGAGCAUUAAAAACGGGGCUAGGGAGCACUUACUAUAGAGCUUGAAAUGUUGAAAACCCUAGCUAUGGAGAGCAUGCAAAUUUUGGCAGCAUGAAGAAGAUGAAUGACAUGAUUUUGGCUUCUUUUUCCCUUUUUAUUCUUUAAUUAACCAAAUGACCAAAAUGUUCUUCCUUACUAAACUUUCAUAAUUUUUCAUGCAUUCCCAUUUUUGUCCAAAAACUUAAAAAUUGGAUAAAUUACUCUUUAAGGACCUCUAAUUAAUAUUCCAAAAAAAUUUCAUACAAAUUACUUCUAGAACCCAAGGUUUACUAUUCAUUCAAAUUGGUCCUUAAUUUCCAAUUAGAUACCUUACACAUAAAAUUUCUUUAUGAAACUUGAACACAUGCUUAUUCUCAUAUCCUAGACCUCAUAAUGAUCAUAAAAUAAUUAUUUUAACAUCGAAUUUGUGGUUUCGAAACCACUAUUCUGACUAGGCCUUAAUUCGGGAUGUUACAUAUCCAUCGGAAUUCCAUAUUCAAACAGAUUCUAACCCAUUUUUCAAUCAAUUUCAGAUUUAUAGACAUUUUCAUUCAAUUCACUAUUUAUGCAUUUCACAUUUAAUUUCAUACAACAAUUAAACCCAACAUGCAUAAACAUCCAAUUAGGUUACACGAACUUACCUGAAUGAUAUCUCGAGUUUGGAUUUCAACUAUUCCAAAACCUCUUGUUUUUCGUGAUCUACUUCCAAAAUUGGUACAGAUUAAAUUUUAAUUCAUCACAUUCUUCAAUUUCAUCCCAAAAACUUACUCUAUGGCAAAAUUACCUAUUUACCCCUAACUUUACACAUUUUUAUAUUUUAGUCCCUAGGCUCGUAUAAUGAAAUACAUGCAUUCCCUUGAUUUCUCAAGCCUAGCCAAAUUAUAUCCUAGCUUAUAACAGCCCACAUUUUCCUUUACUUCACUUUUCUGCUACCCACUUUUACAUCUUUCGCAACUUGAUCCUUUUUAGGUGUUUUCAUGGAAAACCACUUGACAACAGAUUUUUAUCUUACAUAAAACUUUCAUAUUCCUUCAUUAAACACCAAAAGACAAACAUGUCACACAUGGGUAAAUUUUUUAAACAUGAACCUUAGCUUAAAAUAAGGGUAGAAAUUGGCUAGAACAUGCUUCAAUGAUCUCAAAAAUAUAAAGAACAUCAAAAACGGGGCCAGGGAGCACUUACAAUCAAGCUUAAAAUGUUGAAAACCCUAGCUAUGGAGCCCCUUGAAUUUUCGGCACACCAUGUAGAAUAUGGACAACAUUUUUUCUUAUUUUUUCCCUUUUUAUUCUUUAAUUAACCAAAUGACCAAAAUGCCCCUAAGGCCUUUCUUUAAAAUUUUACCCAUGAAUGCCCAAUUUUGUCCACAUUUUUAGAACUUGGUUAAAUUACUAUUUGAGGACCUCUAAUUUAUAAUCCAACUCAAUUUCAUGCUAAAAGUUUUUAGAACUCAAGUUUUACAUAUUUUCCAAUUUGGUCCCUACUGUCAAAUUAAGCAUCUUAGGCAUAGAAUUUCUCCAUGAAAUUUCUACUCAAGCAUACCUUCUCAUCCUAGACCUCAUAAUAAUCAUGAAAUAAUUAUUUCUAUUUUGGAUAUGUGGUCUUGAAACUACUAUUCUGACUAGGCCCUAAAUUGGGAUGUUAUAACAACAUUCAAGCAAACAUAUUUACAUGUCCAAUUAAGUUACACGAACUUACCUCGACACAUGUUCGCGUUAGAAAUCUACUAAUCCAAAACCUUUUCUUUUCUUCGAUCUAACCUCGAAUUAGUGUUGUUCGGAUCUAUAUAAGUAAAUUUAAUCAUCAAUUUCAUACAUUCAUAUUUAAAUGGACUUAAUUUACAUCCUAGGCAAAAUUACCAUUUUGCCAUUAACUUUUCCAUAAAUUUCUAUUUCAUCUCUAGGCUCAAAAAAUGAAACUUGUGCAAUUUACUCCCUAUUUCAAGCCUAACCAAAAUCCCAUUACAAAUUUUACAGCACUUGUAUUCAUAAAAAUUUAAAAAUUUUCUUCAAUUUCACAAGUUUACAUUUUAGUCCCUAAAUCAUGUUUUCAUCAAAAAUUACUUUGUAAAAGUUAUUUAUCUAUCAACAACAUUUCAUUUUCUACCAUAAAUGUCUAAUUUUUAGCAUAUACAUCCUUGAGACAUUUUUCAUACUUUGAUAACUUUUCAAAUUAAUCCCUCAAAUAGAGAGAUUAAGUUAUCCCUGUUUUAAAAAUAUCAAAAUUACUAAGAAUGGGACAAGAAAACUUACUCAAUUAGGCCAUGAAAGUUUCCUCUCUCUCUCCUAAGGUUUUCAUGUGUUUUUAGGUUGAAAAUGAUGAGAAAAUAAGAUGAUACUUUCUUUUCAACUUUUAAUUAAUUAAGUAUUUUGCAAUUUCCAAUUUAGCAUUUGCCCUUUUUCUAUAUUUCCAUAGAUGAGUCACCAAUAAUCUACAUACUUUUCUUUAAUGGUCUAAUUAUCAUAUGAGGACCUCUAGAUUUGAAUUCCAUAGCUAUUUAAUCCUUAUAACUACUAGAAUUCAACUUUCGUAUUUUAUGUGAUUUAGUCCUUCUCGUAAUUAAACAUUUAAUCGAUAAAAUUUUUGUAUCAAAAUUUUCACAAAACAUGCCUAUUAUAAUACGGACCAUAUAAUGAAAUUAAAACAAAACCUCAUUUUCAGAUCAGAUUUGUGGUCCUGAAAUCACUAUUCUGAUUUCACUGAAAAAUCGGUUGUUACAUAAUGUUUUUCAACUUUCAACCAAAUGACAUUCUCCGCUAUUCUUGUACCAUGAACUACUUCGAGUGUGGACUCAAACAAUUGUAUCAAAACACAGAACUAGAAAAAAUUUUCCUUUUGGGGUGAAAACAGAAAUUCUCUCUUCUUUAAUAGAAACUGUUAAAAUUGGUAUUUUGAAAAAAUAUGUUUAUAAGUUGAGAAUAAAUUCUCUCUAUUUUUCGUCAAAAUAAAAAUCUCUCAAAAGUAUUAGUAAUAGUUCUACUAGUGUCAUCUAUUUAUAGGAGGAGAACGUAAAACCCUUAUAGAGUGUAGAGGUUUAUUUUAAUUAGAAAAAACAUCCUACUUGGAGUAGGAGAGGGGUGAAUGACUCACCCUUAUGUUUCUACUAGGGUUGCCACCCUCUUUAUGUUAUAUGAGGGGUUUUGGGUCUCUUUCACAUUGAGUCCAAACCCUAAUAAAAUUUUGACAAUUUUACCCUUUGAUAAAAUUUGAAUGACUUUACCCUCAAUAAGAUUUCAAGAAAAUUCAUUCAAUAUGUCACAACUCAACAUGUUCACUAUGAUCGAAUGAUUUAUUUUCAUUUUCGAGCUUCAAAAUAGUCUUAAAAUAUAAACUCAUUCUUUCAUCAUUUUUAAGUAAUCUUAUAUAAGAUUGCAAGUUUCCAUUUCCAUUUUUGGAAACUUACAUUCAUUUCCAAAUGAUUUUAUUUUUCAAUUUUGGAGAAAACCAUAAUUAUUCAUAAAUGUUUUCCAUUUCUCUUUAUUUAUUUAUUUCGUUCAUUUCUAUUUAAAACACGCAAUUCAUUUUUGGUUUCAACAAGCUAGCGGAGAGACCAUUUGAACAUAUGUAGUUAAGGCUCAAAUGACUUAUAAUUAAGUUCCAUCUUUUUGCCUAUUAAUUAUAAUCUCAUUUAGUCACGAAGUCAUUCCACUAUAGUAUUGUAACUGAGCUAUCCCCAACGACAUAUCAUUACCGAAAGUAACUACUCAGUGCUUGUCCAAUGAUCUUGUCAUUAGUGUUACCCUCAUAGGAUAUCAUUGAUCUCUUUAAGAUAAUAUUUGUUCUUUCAAUAUGAUCAUACUUUAUCUCACGGUAACCAUUACAUCUUCCUUCAUGAAAAGUCAAUCACUAUCAAAUAGUGAUUAAGUCAUCCAUCAUAAAGACGGACGACCCAUGGCACGUGGCCACAUUUACUUUUCAUCAAUCAUGUAAUGCCAAUGAGAGGUUAUAAUUUACUUAUGAGCUAUGAAUUCCACUGUUGUGAAUGGCACUAUAUACUAUAGAAGUUGUACACCCAACGCACCAGCUUUCAUUUUCUUAUCUAUUUGAACUUCGGCUUUUACUUACAUUAAAGUGUAAAAGUCACACAUACAUAGUCUGUCAUACACUCAAGAUUUAGGUAUGUUACACUAUAAAUGUCACAAGUGAAUAAAUCCAUAAAUAGAUUCAGGAUAUAUUUUACUUGGGUCAUGUCUAAUGUAUUAUCAGUUUAGUCAGUUACAUCUAUGUAUCUAUCUUCUGGGAGUCAUCCGCUCCGAUGCCCAAUACAAGGCAUCUGCUCAAUUGGACUUAAUAAGUGACAUAUUAGUAUUUCAAUCGGUUUGCUGGGACAUGUUUAGGUUCGUCUACUAAUAUAAGUUGUAUUUUCGUACUACAAUCUGACCACGUAAUACCGCUUAGUAUUACUUAAAUAUUAGACAACUAAUAGGCAACAUUUACUUUCAUUUUGCUUUGCGUGCAAAAACCAUGUGAGAAUAAUAUACAAAGCAUUAAUGUAAUUUAUGAAUAAUUUUUUAUUAAUUAACAUAUUCAAAAAAAUUAUAAGUGUACUUAGACGAAAAUAAUACACUCAGGGGACCAGGUCCAACAAUUUCAUCAACCAAUUAUCAAUUUGUAUGCAUAACAUUAUAAUUCAUCUUAUCAUAAAGCCAAUUUUGCAAUUACAACAUUAUAUGAUAUGUGCAAAUCUAUUCAAUUUAGUCCUCUAUCUCGAAAAUCAAACAUAAUAGUAUCAAUUUAAUUCAAUUAAACUAAUCAAUCUUAGAUUGCAAUUCAUUAUAUUCAAUUUAUCAGUCAAUUUGUCAUUUCGUCAUUAUUUAAUCCAUAUCUCACCUUUUUGUACCAAAUCGUAAAUAAUCAAAAUUUUAAUUAAAGAUAUUUACAAUUAUAAUUUUAAAUACAUAAAAAUUUAACACAAAUAUACCAUAUGGACUUACUUGGUCAAAACAAAAAAUGAUAAAUUCUUUAAUGACUAAUCAUCAAAUUUGCCUUUUCCCCGAUUAAUUUCGAUUUGGUCUAAUUCCUAAUUUAUACAAUUAUUCAGUUCAAUUUAUCAAUUCCAAGCCUUAUAUUUCAUCCAAUUAUAAUCAUAUAUCAACUCAAUUUCAUUUUAUGAAUGCUCUCUAAAGUUUUUCAGUUUAUUCAAUUUAGUCCUUAAAACCGAAAUAGUUAACUUUCAAAUUUGAGCCUCGAUUUCAAAACCGAUCUUAAUUUAAUCCUUAUAAAGCCCACUACUAUCCAUAAUUAUAGAAAUUUCAUACCAAUUUUGAAAUGUUUACACUUUAGUUCCUAUGUUCAAAAUUAACAAGUUUCACUUUACAAAUUAAUCUUUUUUUCAUAUCCAAGUUUAAAAUCUAACCAAAUAACACCAAAAGCUUCAAUUCAAAAGCUUUAAUAUUCAAAUAUUUUCAAAAAUUAACAUGCGGUCAUUUAGAUUAGGCUCCUAAAAUUUAAAAAACAUAAAAAUUACAAAAAAAAAACUAAAUUUAACUCAAAAAAUUGUUUUAAAAACCAAAACCCUUCACUGAAAUUUCUUUGUUUCCUUUAACGGCGGUUCGGUGUUUGGGGGAAGAUGAAUAGAAAUGUUCUCUCUCUCCACUAAACAUAACAUAUACCUUAUUUUAAUUUUAAUUUAAUUAUAAAAAAGUCUACUUUGUUAGCACGAGUUAGGGUUUCUUAGUUUGCUUUGUAGCACGAUUCAAUUUUAGGGUUCGAACAGGAUUAAUUGAUCAAAGGGAUUUGGAUCUCUUUUCCAAAAGCGGCGGUAUGGCUAGGGAUAAUACAUUAGAUGAAGGAUUCGCUAAUCUCGACAUCACGGAUGAUGAGGAAGAUCCUUUGGAGAUGAUGGGUGAUAAAGUCGACACAGGGUAUUUAUAUGAUUUAUGAUUGGUAGGGAGAGUCCUUACGGAUAGCGUGGUGCACUUUUCGACUUUAAAAAAUACAUUAGCAGAUCUAUGGCAUCCAUUGAGGGGGGUAUUAAUAAUGGAGUUGGAGGAUAAGCGGAUUUUGUUUAGGUUCUAUUGCGAAUUAGACAUACAGAAGGUUUUGGAUGGUCUGCCAUGGUUCUUUAAUCGACAUCUGAUUAUUUUUCAUUUAUUAGUACGGGGUGAGGAACCCAGUUUAAUUCCUCUUUGGGAAACAGUAUUUUGGGUACAUAUCCAUAAUCUACCAAGCGGAUUCAUGUUGGAAGGGAUGGCUCGCCAAAUUGGGGACUUUAUUAGGAAAUUUUUGGAAUAUGAUGCAUCUUUGGUGUUGAGAGGGAUUGGUAAAUAUAUGUGAUUACGAGUCUCUAUGGAUGUACAGUUUCCGUUUAAGAGAAAGAAAAUAAUAAGCAUUAACCAGAGCCAAUUCACAUAUGUUUUUUCAAUACGAAAGAUUACCGCUAUUUUGCUUCCUUUAUGGUUGCCUUGGACAUGGGGAAAACUACUAUCAGGUUCGGUUAACAUUACGCAAUCAACAGGUGGAGUUUGGAUGGGAUAGUUCAUUAAAGGCAGCUCCAAGAAGGAGAGGACAGGCGGUGAGUAAAUGGCUAAGGGAGGAGAAUGAGGCUGAAAAGUGGGUUCGUAUGGAUAUUGAUGGGGAAAGAAGGGAAAGGGUAUUUGGUGUGGAUGUAACAAACAGGAGUAUUUAUAAAGAAUGGAUGGGGUCUUUGGGACACUUUAACCGAAAGCCUAGCUAGCAAAGGAUAAAGGACUAAUUGGCAUGUCGAAACAAGACAUGAGAGUGGGAGAGGAUGUAAAGUUAGAAGAUUUAACGGUAGAGUUUGUUAAUGGUAAGAAGAGGCAGAGAUUUCACUCAGAUGGGGGGAGUGGUCUAAUGGAGGUGGGUUCGGAAACUAUGAUAUCGGCAACCAACAACAAGUUGGUUGACCGGGCAUAAUGAAAAUUUUAAGUUGGAAUGUUCGUGGGUUGGGGCACCCAUGGACAGUUGACGUCUCAAAAGUAAGUUGAGAUAAGUUAAGCCUCAUAUUUUGUUUCUUAUAGAAAUAAAAGUAUCGACUAGGAAGAUGGAGACAAUAAGAAGGAAAUGUGGAUUCGUUCAUGAGAUUGAUGUAGAUGCGGUAGGAACGAGUAGAGGAUUAUCAUUAGGAUGGAAAGAAGGUUUGAAUUUAAAUCUAAGGAGUUUUUCAAAGUCUCAUAUCGAUGUGGAGGUGGAAGAAGAAGCUGAGACGGUUGUUUGGAGAAUAACGGGUUUUACGAAUAACUAGUGGAACAGAAUAGGAGCGAGUCGUAAGAUCUGUUGAGAUAUUUGAAGAGAGGCAAUAGUAAGCCAUGGUUAAUUAUCGGAGACUUUAAUGAAAUUCUAUUCUCGUACGAGAAACAAAGGGGUAGAGUUAGAGAGGAAAGACAAAUGAGUGCGUUCAGAGAAGUUUUAGAAGAGUGUGAGAUGAAUGAUUUAAGGUUUUCUAGAUAAUGGUUCACUUGGGAAAGGGGAAGGUUACUUAGUAACAAUAUUAGGGAAAGGUUGGAUAGAGGGGUGGCGAAUCCAGAAUAGUGGAAUCUUUUUCCAGGGUAUAGGGUGAGUCAUCUACAACAUAGUUUUUCUGAUCAUUGCCCGGUUAUGGUUGAUACAGAAGGGGACAGAAGGUCGCGCGUUGGGGAACAACAAUGGCAAUUUAGAUUCAAUGUUGAUUGGAUAUUGCAAUCGGGCUUUAAGGAGCGAUUAAGAUCUGAAUGGAGCUCAAAUCAACAAGAUUUUUUGGUAAAAUUGAAGGAGGUGGGGAUGAGGUUAAGUGCCUGGGCAGCUAAGGAGAAAAAGGGCAGAGAACGUCGAACGACGGAGUUAAAUGCUAAGUUAAUGAAAUUGAAUGCAGGCGAGAUAAGUGAUGACGCGUUAGAAGAGAUUACAGCGAUAAAACUAGAUCUGAACUUAGAAGCCAAUAAAGAGGAGAUAUUUUGGGAACAGAGAGCCAGAGUCAAUUGGCUUCAAAUAGGUGAUAGAAUUACGUCGUUCUUCCAUAGAAGUGCUUCAAACCGAAAGAAGAGGAAUGUGAUUAAGGGGUUGGUAAAUAGUUCUGGGACUUGGGUGACGAAUUUUGAAGAAGUUUCAAAAACAGCAACAAAUUAUUUUAAAGAUUUAUUUUCGUCAACUAGAGCUGGAGAUUGUGAUUGUUUAUUAGGGUCAUUCAUUCCAUGCAUUACGGAGGAUCUUAACAGGGACUUAAUGGUGGAGUUUAAAGCAGAAGAGAUUGUAGAGGAGAUAAAAUCUAUUAGACCUCUUAAAGCAUCAGGAAAGGAUGGAUAUCCGGCGUUAUUUUACCAGAAAUAUUGGCAUAUUAUUGGGGGUGAUGUCAUUAUGUUCUGCUUGGAUGUACUGAAUGGACGAAGAGAUGUGGGAGAAAUUAACAAAACGAGCAUUGUUCUUAUUCCUAAAAUGAAUUCACCAACUUCAAUGAGUCAAUUUCGACCCAUCAGCUUGUGUAAUGUUAUUUACAAAAUUGUUUUGAAAGUGCUAGUUCAUAGAUUCCGACGAGUUUUGCACUAUUGUAUUGAAGAUACACAAUGGGCAUUUGUUCUUGGGAGGAAUGUCACUGACAACAUUCUUGUAGCUUACGAAAUUCUGCAUUCAUUCAAGAAACAUAAAGGGUCAUCGAAGAAAAGCUUUGCUUUAAAGCUGGAUAUGAGCAAGGCGUACGACCAAGUUAAAUGGGGUUUUUUAGGAAAAAUGAUACGAAGUAUGGGAUUCUGUGAAUAAUGGAUUGCUUUGAUUAUAAAGUGCAUAUCCAGUGUAGUGUAUACUGUGGUGAUCAAUGGAAGAUAUGGAGAGGAGUUUAAGUCUCAUAGAGGUUUAAGACAAGGAGAUCUGCUUAGCCCGUAUUUGUUCUUCAUUUGCCCCGAAGGUUUUCCACGAUUACUUACACUAGCGAAAAAAAGAGGGCGAAUUUUGGCAACAAAGGUGGGAAGAGGUAACGUUUCGGUAUCCCAUUUAUUUUUUUCUGAUGACAGUAUGUUAUUUGGAGAACAUCCACUUAAAGAGCAUUUAAUAUGAAAAGUGUGAUUAUGGAAUAUAAAAGAAUGUCGGGGCAAUUGGUCAACUUUGAGAAAUCUCUUAUCUAUUUCAGUGGCAAUAUUGGCGUUGACGUAAAAAAUCAAGUGGGUAGUAUUUUGGGGUUAAGGAUUUCUAAUAACCUAGAACGGUAUUUGGGGCUUCCAACCAUGGUAGGACGUCGAAAAAACAUACUUUUAUCGACAUUAAAGAACGUUUUGCUAAGUUGCUGAAUAACUGGAGCAUGCGAGUCUUGUCGACAGGGGGUAAGGAGGUAUUUUUAAAAUCAAUUUUACAGGCGAUACCGAUUUAUGCAAUGCAAUGUUUUAAAUUACCAUUGUGCUUCUGUCAAGAGCUAGAGAGUAUAAUGAACAAAUUUUGGUGGCGUAGUUCGAAGACAAACAAAGGAAUACAUUAGUGUAAAUGGCGUGAUAUAUGUAUCCCCAAAGCGCAGGGAGGUACGGGCUUUAAAGACUUAUCUAAGUUCAACUUGGCGUUAUUAGCAAAACAGGGAUGGAAAAUUAUUAUGCAGCCAAAUUGUUUGUUUGCUCAUUAAUGAAAGUAAAAUAUUUCCAAAAAAGGGAUUUUAUGAGUGCGAGAUUAGGCUCUUACCCUUCAUAUACCUGGAGAAGUAUUUGGGGUGCUCGACAUCUCCUCGAGGAGGGACUUGGUUGGCGAAUUGGGAAUGGUGAGGCAGUGAACAUAUGGAAUGAUGCAUGGCUACCAGGACCUGGAUACGGGAGAGUUCAAGGUUAGAAUAUUGACAUUAGGUAUACAAAAGUAGCACACUUAAUCGACAAAGAAACUAUUACCUAAAAGCAAGAUACAAUUCGAGAAUUAUUCAAAGAAGAACAGCUUGCAAAAAUAUUGUGAAUCCCAUUGGUGUGUAGUGAACCAAAGGAUGUCUUAAUUUGGAGGGGUGACAACACAGGGGUGUAUACAGUGAAAAGUGGAUAUAAGUGGCAAAUUACAACAGAGGGACCUCAUGUUCAAACUGAUUCUUCGGAUACAAUUUUUACAAAACUGUGGAGGCUCCAAGUACCAAGUAAAAUAAAAAUACACAUGUGGCGAAUAGCUAAGAAUUACAUCCCUACUUUAUACAAUCUAAGAAGUCGUAAUUUAGUUACUACUCCAAUCUGCCCGGUUUGUUAAGCAGUCGAGGAAACGAUUUGUCACCUGUUCAGAGAUUGCCAUUUCACACAGCAGGUUUUACAGGGAUUGGGGGCAUCAGUUUUACCAUGCAAUGAAGAAACAGAUUGGAAGAUGUGGUUAGCAAUAGAGUUCAAUAAUUUAAACAUUGAAGCAUGCAGAAUCAGAGCUAUUGCUUAUUGGGCUAUAUGGUAUAACAGAAAUAAGAUUUACCAUGAGGGGAUUCGUGAACAAGCUCAUGAGGUAGUUGGAUUUGUUAAAGCUUAUUGCACAGAAAUAAACACACUGGGGGUGGUGUUAAGGCAAGUACAGGUAAUGGAUAGUUUUAAAUGGAAACCUCUAGAGAAUAACACUAUUAAAGUAAACUUUGACGCUUCAUUCAACUAUCAUACAAGAAAAUCGUGUUCAGGUGUUAUAGCGAGAAAUAAUGAAGGUCUGGUGAUGGCAGCAUGUACCUUUCCGUGGGAAGACGUCUCAGAUCCGGUUAUGGCCGAGGCAAAGGCGUGCUUACAAGCCAUUACUAUGGCUGAGGAAAUGGGUUUUCAAGAUAUUUGCAUUGAAGGAGAUGCGCUAACUGUAAUCCAAAAGAUUAACUCUGCAGGGGAAGAUAAAUCUGAAAUAAGCUGUCUGAUUAGAGAAAUUAAGGAAAGAACAUCUAGAUUCAGAAGAGUGAGCGUUAGGUACAUAUCCAGGGAAGCUAAUAAGGUGGCCCACGGGAUGGCGAUGGAAGGACGGUGAUAUGAAAACCCCCUAUACUGGAUAAAGGAAGUUCCGCAUGCGGUGGAAGGGUUGGUGGAUGAAAAAAUGAGAGGUUGCGGAGAGUGUGAAGAGGUGGAGAGUUAGAGUCCGGACUUUGCGCAAUAUUUUGGUCCGAUGAACUCGCGAUUCCGAUCGAGAAGAAGACGUCAAUAGCUUUGAUUCUAGGCGAUAAUCGAUCUAUGUGAGUAACUGAUACAGAGGAGAUGUGGGGUUUAACGCUAGGGAAGAUGAGCUUUCAAGUCUGAUUUGAUUAGAUUAGUCGUUUCAUUUCAGUUCUUUUGUGGUCAAGAAUGAGUUUCCUUUCUUUUAUGUUUUUUUUUUAGGUUUUUUUAUUUUAUUGUUUUAUUUUGUUUUAAUUUUACGUUAUUAAAUGCACCGAUUCGGUGCCUUAUAGAAAACAAACAAAUGUUGGGUAGUCCUUAUAAGCCUGAGAUGUUUAUGAAUUUUCCCAUUAAUACAAGUAUCAGUUAUAAUUUCA
Molecule: long non-coding RNA, 14924 nt
Filed under: Gossypium barbadense (sea-island cotton)
Lineage: Eukaryota; Viridiplantae; Streptophyta; Magnoliopsida; Malvales; Malvaceae
Description: long non-coding RNA (GBAR_LNC001276)
Source: RNAcentral